AUGCCAGAUGGUGUUAAUGACACGACGAUUGUGUUAAUUCGAAAAGUGCCCCACCCUAAGGAACUAAAAGAUUUCCGCCCCAUUAGUCUGUGUAAUGUGGUGUAUAAGAUCGUGUCUAAAUGCAUGGUGAACAGGCUACGCCCGCUCCUGUCUGAGCUUAUCUCUGAAAAUCAGAGUGCAUUCAUUUCAGGGAGGUUGAUAUCAGACAAUUCCAUUAUUGCCUUCGAGUGCAUUCAUCAUAUUCAGCCAGUAAAGGAGAAUUCACCAGCUUUAUGUGCUUACAAACUUGAUCUGUCGAAGGCGUAUGACCGCGUCGAUUGGUUCUUCUCGGAAAGGGUGCUCUCUAAAUGGGACUUCUCUGAUGAGUGGAUCUCUCGCGUUAUGGCAUGUGUCUCAUCAGUGAAGUAUUCUGUUAAAUUUAAUGGCAAACUAUUGGAGUCCUUCUCUCCCUCGAGAGGUCUACGCCAAGGUGAUCCAUUAUCCCCCUUCCUUUUCCUCUUUGUGGCUGACGCUCUGUCUAUCCUUCUGAACAAGUCGAUGAGCGAGGAAGGUCUACAAGGGGUCACGAUCUGUAGAGGGCCCCCGGUCAUCUCACAUCUCUUAUUUGAGGCUGAUUCCCUCCUGUUUUUCCAUGCCCCCGAGCAGCAGGCUCUCUUGGUUAAAGGUGUGUUGAACACGUAUUCGGCGGCGACUAGACAAUUGAUCAACCCGUUGAAGUGUUCCAUCCUUUUCUCAGAUAACUGUCUGCAGAGUGUGUUCCACGAUCUUUCAACUGUGUUGGAGAUUACUCAAGAGGUGUUUGAGCCCAAGUACUUGGGUCUUCCUGUCCCGGAAGGAAGAAUUCACAAAGGUAACUUUGAAACAAUCCAAGAGCGCCUACGGAAGAAACUUAUAGAUUGGAGUGAGCAAUAUACGUCCGCUGGUAAUAAGGAGAUUCUUAUUAAAGUUGUGGCCCAGGCCCUUCCUGCUUAUGUAAUGAGUGUCUUCAAGCUUCCUGCAUCGGUCUGUGACGAACUAACUCGCAUGAUACGUCAACUGGUGGGGAGUGGAGAACGGCAAGAAGAAGAUGGCUUGGAUGAGCUGGGACAAACUGAGGCUGGCAAAGUCCAUGGGUGGCAUGGGGUUUCGUGA
RNAcentral lists this ribosomal RNA (1131 nucleotides) under Triticum aestivum (bread wheat). RNAcentral describes it as "partial small subunit ribosomal RNA". The record is from RNAcentral. Lineage: Eukaryota; Viridiplantae; Streptophyta; Magnoliopsida; Poales; Poaceae.